AUACAGAGGGUGCAAGCGUUAAUCGGAUUUACUGGGCGUAAAGGGCGCGUAGAUGGCUAAUUAAGUCAAAUGUGAAAUCCCCGAGCUUAACUUGGGAAUUGCAUUCGAUACUGGUUAGCUAGAGUAUGGGAGAGGAUGGUAGAAUUCCAGGUGUAGCGGUGAAAUGCGUAGAGAUCUGGAGGAAUACCGAUGGCGAAGGCAGCCAUCAGGCCCAAUACUGACACUGAGGUGCGAAAGCAUGGGGAGCAAACAGGAUUAGAUACCCUGGUAGUCCAUGCCGUAAACGAUGUCUACUAGCCGUUGGGGCCCUUGGGGCUUUAGUGGCGCAGCUAACGCGAUAAGUAGACCGCCUGGGGAGUACGGUCGCAAGACUAAAACUCAAAUGAAUUGACGGGG
This 396-nucleotide ribosomal RNA is filed under the name uncultured bacterium. RNAcentral describes it as "partial 16S ribosomal RNA". It matches the Rfam family "Bacterial small subunit ribosomal RNA", at positions 523 to 918 of the family's 1533-position model. The record is from RNAcentral.